Molecule: ribosomal RNA, 166 nt
Filed under: uncultured bacterium
Lineage: Bacteria
Description: partial 16S rRNA
Rfam family: Bacterial small subunit ribosomal RNA
Source: RNAcentral
UAGGGAAUCUUCGGCAAUGGACGAAAGUCUGACCGAGCAACGCCGCGUGAGUGAAGAAGGUUUUCGGAUCGUAAAACUCUGUUGGUAGAGAAGAACGUUGGUGAGAGUGGAAAGCUCAUCAAGUGACGGUAACUACCCAGAAAGGGACGGCUAACUACGUGCCCGG